AUGUCUACAGGAAUGAAGCCUUGGAGAUGCCACCCACGUUCAACUUCUACAAAAUCCCACGGCCAUCCACGAGGCAUUAGCCCCUGUUGCUCACAGCAUGGGCACAGAGGAGAUGGACAUGGCUGCUUUGUCUGCUGCACCUUCUCCUUGGGUGCUGGGGAGCAGGUUGGGACCCCUUGGCUGAAACCUCCUCUCCUCUCCAGUUCCCAUUAUGUGACAGUGCCCUGGUAUGUGUGGGAGGGGGCUGCUCCUUGCACUGCCCCAGGUGAGGCUUCACACACAGCCCCCACCAGACAGAGUAGGCUCAGGGCAGUUUGUACUGCCCAUGGCACUGCAGCCUGUGCUGCUGGCUAGCAGGAACCUGCUUAGCCAGGGCCCUCGCUUGAAAAAUGUGACUAUUUAUUUUUGCAGGGAGCCUGAAUCUUUCCAAGGCUGUGAUUUUUG
Molecule: long non-coding RNA, 444 nt
Filed under: Athene cunicularia (burrowing owl)
Lineage: Eukaryota; Metazoa; Chordata; Aves; Strigiformes; Strigidae
Description: lncRNA (ENSACUG00000006822.1)
Source: RNAcentral